RNAcentral lists this ribosomal RNA (368 nucleotides) under uncultured organism. RNAcentral's name for it is "bacterial SSU rRNA". It matches the Rfam family "Bacterial small subunit ribosomal RNA", at positions 526 to 896 of the family's 1533-position model. The record is from RNAcentral.
CGAAGGGGGCUAGCGUUGUUCGGAAUCACUGGGCGUAAAGCGUACGUAGGUGGUGCAGAAAGUCAGGUGUGAAAUCCCGAGGCUUAACCUCGGAAUGGCAUUUGAAACUCCUGUGCUAGAGUGUGACAGAGGAUGAUGGAAUUCCUAGUGUAGCGGUGAAAUGCGUAGAUACUAGGAGGAACACCAGUGGCGAAGGCGGUCAUCUGGGUCAUAACUGACACUAAGGUACGAAAGCGUGGGUAGCAAACAGGAUUAGAUACCCUGGUAGUCCACGCCCUAAACGAUGGAUGCUAGAUGUCGGGACGCAAGUCUCGGUAUCGCAGCUAACGCGUUAAGCAUCCCGCCUGGGGAGUACGGUCGCAAGAUUA